AACGGCGAGUGAAGAGGGAAAAGCCCAAAUUUGUAAUCUGGCUCUUUUAUAAGGGUCCGAGUUGUAAUUUUGAGAACUGUUUUCCGUGCUGGACCAUGUACAAGUCUGUUGAAAAACAGCAUCAUUGAGGGUGAUAAUCCCGUACAUGAUAUGGACUACCAGGGCAAUGUGAUACAGUCUCUAAGAGUCGAGUUGUUUGGGAAUGCAGCUCAAAGUGGGUGGUAAAUUCCAUCUAAGGCUAAAUAUAGGUGAGAGACCGAUAGCAAACAAGUACCGUGAGGGAAAGAUGAAAAGAACUUUGGAAAGAGAGUUAACAGUACGUGAAAUUGUUAAAAGGGAAACAUUUGAAGUUAGACUUGUUAUUGUUGGUUCAGCUCUUUAUAAGGGUGUAUUCCAAUGGUUAACAGACCAGCAUCAAUUUUUGGGUGUUAGAUAAGGGUCUUGAGAAUGUAGCAACUUUGGUUGUGUUAUAGAUCUUGACUUGAUAUAAUGCUUAGGAUUGAGGAACGCAGUGAGCUUCUUUGAAGUGGAUUCCCUUGGGAGUCUCUCACUACGGAUGUGGUAGCCGACGACCCCA
RNAcentral lists this ribosomal RNA (577 nucleotides) under Chrysomyxa succinea. RNAcentral describes it as "partial large subunit ribosomal RNA". It matches the Rfam family "Eukaryotic large subunit ribosomal RNA", at positions 85 to 605 of the family's 3401-position model. Lineage: Eukaryota; Fungi; Basidiomycota; Pucciniomycetes; Pucciniales; Coleosporiaceae. The record is from RNAcentral.